CGGAGGGUGCAAGCGUUAUCCGGAUUCACUGGGUUUAAAGGGUGCGUAGGCGGGCAGGUAAGUCCGUGGUGAAAUCUCUGAGCUUAACUCAGAAACUGCCAUGGAUACUAUUUGUCUUGAAUAUUGUGGAGGUGAGCGGAAUAUGUCAUGUAGCGGUGAAAUGCUUAGAUAUGACAUAGAACACCCAUUGCGAAGGCAGCUCACUACACAAUGAUUGACGCUGAGGCACGAAGCGUGGGGAUCAAACAGGAUU
RNAcentral lists this ribosomal RNA (253 nucleotides) under uncultured bacterium. Its description in RNAcentral is "partial 16S ribosomal RNA". It matches the Rfam family "Bacterial small subunit ribosomal RNA", at positions 526 to 779 of the family's 1533-position model. The record is from RNAcentral.